UUCAUAUAAUCAAACAAUUUAACAGUUUACAAUAAUUAAGGUUGCAUAUUCCAUAGUUUAUGUGCAGGAACUGUGGUUUUGAUUUACCAAUACAGUGGUAAUGUUAUUUAACAAGGCAAUACACUGUGGCUGUGGCUCAGUGUGAUGCAUCAUCAAAAAACAAUACAAUAUAUGAAACGCUACAGGGCUUUUCAUUUGAAGCGAGGGCUUUUCAUUUGAACCUGAUACAGAAGUGGCAUUUGGCCGACCAAUUGUGUAACGCCAUCACUCAGUCACGUGGCAUUUGGUCGACCAAUGGUGUAACUCGGGCCGGCCCCGCUGUUGCCAGGCAGAAAAUCAUCUCUGUGUUUAGGACAUGCGUAGUGCGAUAUCUAGUGACGACGGUUGGCGGGCUUCUACUUUAUUCAACGACAGCAAAUUCACGCCACUAACCGCCGACUGCUGCUGCGGUGAGAAUACGUGUGCACUCCAAACUAGGGGCAGGUACCUGAGAACAGGCUGAUUAGCAGGAUGAGACACAUCUGGGUCCAGUGAGCCCCAUGUAUAAAGCUGGAGAAGCUGCCAGUUCAGAGCACAUGGAAAAGGCAGGAGAAAACAUCAGAGCGAUCCAGUCUGAAGACCAACAAGAAGUUACUGUUCUCCACAGACCAGGAGUCUGAACAGGUGCUUGCAGGAGUGGGGACAGCUUAUGGUUCGGUGUCACCACUGAGAGCCAAGAGCUGUAUUCCCUCUUCAUGAGGCACAGUCCCACAGUCUCACAGAGGCCAAGUGGUCCCAGCUGGAGGGGAAGCACAGGAUGGUCAGCCUGACUGAUGCCGAGGUGAUGAAGAGUGAAAUUAGCUUCUUUUUUUGCAGCUGCAGUGCAGUAUUAAGUUGCCCUAAGGAGGUGUCAUUUCUGUGUGGGGUUCUCUAGAUUGGUGAAUGCCUACAUGUGUCAUAGUAGUAAUAAAGUAUAAUAAGGUUGUCUGAUGUGACUGCUGUUAGUUAUUGGUUUGAUUAAUGAUUUACAGUCUAAUAAUGUGUGUUGUAUUGAUUACUAACGGUGGCUGAUCAGGCUAAUAUUGUACUCAGUUUCUAUGCAUGUUUUUAAACUACUUUCCCAAUUAAACUUUAUGUGCUUGAUGGUGUUAUUAAUGACUCCUGAUGAGACUUGAAACCUAGCCAUCCGGCCAUCCGCCGUUUAAAGUCAGUUGCACUCCUACUAUAGUAAUUACAGCAGCAUAGUCAAAGCUGAUAAAGUGCCUUAAGGCU
Molecule: long non-coding RNA, 1251 nt
Organism: Thunnus maccoyii (southern bluefin tuna)
Lineage: Eukaryota; Metazoa; Chordata; Actinopteri; Scombriformes; Scombridae
Exons: 3
Source: RefSeq, a predicted model, not a curated record